UGGGGAAUAUUGGACAAUGGGGGCAACCCUGAUCCAGCCAUGCCGCGUGAGUGAUGAAGGCCUUCGGGUUGUAAAGCUCUUUUGGCGGGGACGAUGAUGACGGUACCCGCAGAAUAAGCCCCGGCUAACUUCGUGCCAGCAGCCGCGGUAAGACGAAGGGGGCUAGCGUUGUUCGGAAUUACUGGGCGUAAAGCGAGUGUAGGUGGUUGUCAUAGUCAGGUGUGAAAGCCUUGAGCUCAACUCAAGAAAUGCACUUGAUACUGGGCGACUAGAGGACCGGAGAGGAUAGUGGAAUUCCCAGUGUAGUGGUGAAAUACGUAGAGAUUGGGAAGAACACCAGUGGCGAAGGCGGCUAUCUGGACGGUUUCUGACACUAAGACUCGAAAGCGUGGGGAGCAAACAGGAUUAGAUACCCGCGUAGUCCCUGAGCGGGCUGGCAAGGCGCAU
Molecule: ribosomal RNA, 447 nt
Filed under: uncultured bacterium
Lineage: Bacteria
Description: bacterial SSU rRNA
Rfam family: Bacterial small subunit ribosomal RNA
Source: RNAcentral